GAUGAACGCUGGCGGCGUGCCUAAUACAUGCAAGUCGAGCGAAUGGAUUAAGAGCUUGCUCUUAUGAAGUUAGCGGCGGACGGGUGAGUAACACGUGGGUAACCUGCCCACAAGACUGGGAUAACUCCGGGAAACCGGGGCUAAUACCGGAUAACAUUUUGAACCGCAUGGUUCGAAAUUGAAAGGCGGCUUCGGCUGUCACUUAUGGAUGGACCCGCGUCGCAUUAGCUAGUUGGUGAGGUAACGGGCCACCAAGGCAACGAUGCGUAGCCGACCUGAGAGUGUGAUCGGCCACACUGGGACUGAGGCUCGGCCCAGACUCCUACGGGAUGCAUCAGUAGGGAAUCUUCCGCAAUGGACGAAAGUCUGACGGAGCAACGCCGCGUGAGUGAUUAAUGCUUUCGGGUCGUAAAACUCUGUUGUUAGUGAAGAACAAGUGCUAGUUGAAUAAGCUGGCACCCUGACGGUACCUAACCAGAAAGCCACGGCUAACUACGUGCCAGCCGCCGCGGUAA
RNAcentral lists this ribosomal RNA (515 nucleotides) under uncultured bacterium. RNAcentral describes it as "partial 16S ribosomal RNA". It matches the Rfam family "Bacterial small subunit ribosomal RNA", at positions 28 to 523 of the family's 1533-position model. The record is from RNAcentral.